AACGAACGCUGGCGGCAUGCCUAACACAUGCAAGUCGAACGAGACCUUCGGGUCUAGUUGCGCACGGGUGCGUAACGCGCGGGAACCUGCCCUUAGGCUCGGAAUAACUCUCCGAAAGGGGUGCUAAUACCGGAUAAUGUCUUCGGCCCAAAGAUUUAUCGCCAUUGGAUGGGCCCGCGUUGGAUUAGCUAGUUGGUAGGGUAAUAGCCUACCAAGCCGACGAUUCAUAGCUGGUCUGAGAGGAUGGUCAGCCACACUGGGACUGAGACACGGCCCAGACUCCUACAGGAGGCAGCAGUGGGGAAUAUUGGACAAUGGACGAAAGCCUGAUCCAGCAAUGCCGCGUGAGUGAUGAAGGCCUUAGGGUUGUAAAGCUCUUUUACCCGGGAUGAUAAUGACAGUACCGGAAGAAUAAGCUCCGGCUAACUCCGUG
Molecule: ribosomal RNA, 433 nt
Filed under: uncultured bacterium
Lineage: Bacteria
Description: partial 16S ribosomal RNA
Rfam family: Bacterial small subunit ribosomal RNA
Source: RNAcentral